This 525-nucleotide ribosomal RNA is filed under the name uncultured bacterium. Its description in RNAcentral is "bacterial SSU rRNA". It matches the Rfam family "Bacterial small subunit ribosomal RNA", at positions 524 to 1050 of the family's 1533-position model. The record is from RNAcentral.
UACGUAGGGGGCGAGCGUUGUCCGGAUUUACUGGGCGUAAAGGGUGAGUAGGCGGUUAUAUAUGUCAGGUGUAAAAAGCUAUGGCUUAACCAUAGUAAGCACUUGAAACUGUAUGACUUGAGUGCAGGAGAGGUAAGCGGAAUUCCUAGUGUAGCGGUGAAAUGCGUAGAUAUUAGGAGGAACACCGGUGGCGAAGGCGGCUUACUGGACUGUAACUGACGCUGAGUCACGAAAGCGUGGGUAGCAAACAGGAUUAGAUACCCUGGUAGUCCACGCCGUAAACGAUGAGUGCUAGGUGUUGGGCAGCAAUGCUCAGUGCCGAAGUAAACACAAUAAGCACUCCGCCUGGGGAGUACGUACGCAAGUAUGAAACUCAAAGGAAUUGACGGGGACCCGCACAAGCAGCGGAGCAUGUGGUUUAAUUCGAAGCAACGCGAAGAACCUUACCAAGGCUUGACAUCCCCUUGACAGAUGCAGAGAUGUGUCCUCCUCUUCGGAGGCAAGGGAGACAGGUGGUGCAUGGUU